AAAAAGACAAACCCUGGUUUCCGUGUCCAACGUUUGACCGUCCAUCUUAUUUAAAAAAAUUAUAAAAAAAAUUAAAAAGACAAGUCACGCAUAAAAUAUUAAUCAUGUUUUAUCAUCUAACAACAAUAAAAAUAUGAAUUAUAAAAAAAUUUCAUGUAAGACGGACAGUCAAAGUUGGACACGGAAACUCAGGUUUGUCUUUUUU
Molecule: microRNA precursor, 205 nt
Filed under: Oryza rufipogon (brownbeard rice)
Lineage: Eukaryota; Viridiplantae; Streptophyta; Magnoliopsida; Poales; Poaceae
Description: MIR812 microRNA precursor family
Rfam family: MIR812 microRNA precursor family
Source: Rfam by way of RNAcentral